Molecule: ribosomal RNA, 1029 nt
Filed under: Salmonella enterica
Lineage: Bacteria; Pseudomonadati; Pseudomonadota; Gammaproteobacteria; Enterobacterales; Enterobacteriaceae
Description: partial 23S ribosomal RNA
Rfam family: Bacterial large subunit ribosomal RNA
Source: RNAcentral
UGGUCAAGUUAUUAAGGGUGCAGGGCGGAUGCCUUGGCACUAGGAGCCGAUGAAGGACGUGAUAAGCUGCGAUAAGCUUCGGGGAGUUGCACGUAAACUUUGAUCCGAAGAUUUCCGAAUGAGGAAACUCACUUAGAGUAAUGUCUAAGUAUCAUUAAGUGAAUACAUAGCUUAAUGAGGGGAACUCAGGGAACUGAAACAUCUAAGUACCUGAAGGAAGAGAAAGAAAUUCGAUUCCGUAAGUAGCGGCGAGCGAACGCGGAUUAGCCCAAACCAAUAAAGUUUUCUUUAUUGGGGUUGCGGACAUAUCAUAACGAAGAGGUAUCGUAAUUGAAGAGGUUUGGAAAGACCCACCACAGAAGGUAAUAGUCCUGUAUGUUAAACGAGAAGACUUUAGAUAUGAUCCAGAGUACCACGGGACACGUGAAACCCUGUGGGAAGCAGGAGGGACCACCCUCCAAGGCUAAAUACUACCUAGUGACCGAUAGCGUAUAGUACCGUGAGGGAAAGGUGAAAAGAACCCCGGGAGGGGAGUGAAAUAGAACCUGAAACCCUGCACUUACAAGCUGUGGAAGCACAUUUCUUGUGUGACCGCGUACUUUUUGUAGAACGGGCCAACGAGUUACGUUAAGUAGCAAGGUUAAGCACUUAAGGUGCGGAGCCGUAGCGAAAGCGAGUUUUAACUGAGCGUUCAGUUACUUGACGUAGACCCGAAACCGGGCGACCUACCCAUGAGCAGGAUGAAGCGAAAGUAAAAUUUCGUGGAGGUCCGAACCCACGAGCGUUGAAAAGCUCGGGGAUGACUUGUGGGUAGCGGUGAAAUUCCAAUCGAGCCCGGAGAUAGCUGGUUCUCCCCGAAAUAGCUUUAGGGCUAGCCUCAAGGUGAGAGAUACGGAGGUAGAGCACUGAAUGUCCUAGGGGGUAUUGCACCUACCGAAGACUAUCAAACUCCGAAUGCCGUCAUCUUAUACUUGGGAGUCAGACUGUGGGUGAUAAGAUUCAUAGUCGAAAGGGCAACAGCCCAGAUCG